AUGAACGCUAGCGGCAGGCUUAAUACAUGCAAGUUGAGGGGCAGCAUGAUAUACGCGAGUAUAUUGAUGGCGACCGGCGGACGGGUGAGUAAUAGGUAGGAGACCUACCUCAUACGAGGGGGAUGGCAUAGAGAAAUCUGUGGUAAUACCCCAUGAGGUUAUAUGAAUAGAGGCAUAUAAUCAAAGCAUAAGCGAUUAUGCGGUAUGAGAGGGGCCUACUGACCAUUAGCUAGUUGGUGAGGUAAGGGCUCACCAAGGCGAAGAUGGUUAGGGGUUUUGAGAGAGAGACCCCCCACAUUGGAACUGAGAGACGGUCCAGACUCCUACGGGAGGCAGCAGUAGGGAAUAUUGGGCAAUGGGCGAAAGCCUGACCCAGCCAUGCCGCGUGAAGGAAGACGGCCUUAUGGGUUGUAAACUUCUUUACUACGCGAAUAGAGGUUAGUACGAGAUACUAAUAGGAAGGUAGUGUAGUAAAAAGCACCGGCUAACUCCGUG
Molecule: ribosomal RNA, 495 nt
Filed under: uncultured bacterium
Lineage: Bacteria
Description: bacterial SSU rRNA
Rfam family: Bacterial small subunit ribosomal RNA
Source: RNAcentral